This 899-nucleotide ribosomal RNA is filed under the name uncultured archaeon. Its description in RNAcentral is "bacterial SSU rRNA". It matches the Rfam family "Archaeal small subunit ribosomal RNA", at positions 1 to 880 of the family's 1478-position model. The record is from RNAcentral.
CUCCGGUUGAUCCCGCCGGACCCGACUGCUAUCGGAUUGAGAUUUAGCCAUGCGAGUCGAACGUUCCCCUGUUGCGGGGAGCGUGGCGUACGGCUCAGUAACACGUAGUCAACCUGCCCUGGAGACAAGGACAACCCCGGGAAACUGGGAUUAAUCCUUGAUAGGUCAUCUCAUCUGGAAGGAGAGAUGGCUUAAAGGGGUACGAGGGCUUCUUCCACGUAUUCGCUCCAGGAUGGGACUGCGACCGAUCAGGCUGUUGGCGGGGUAAUGGCCCACCAAACCUGUAACCGGUACGGGCCUUGAGAGAGGUGGCCCGGAGAUGGACACUGAGAGAAGGGUCCAGGUCCUAUGGGGCGCAGCAGGCGAGAAACCUUCGCAAUGUGCGAAAGCACGACUGGGUCAGUCCGAGUGAUUCCUGAUAAAGGAGUCUUUUGCUUGUCCUAAAAGCACAGGUGAAUAAGGGGUGGGCAAGUCUGGUGUCAGCCGCCGCGGUAAUACCAGCACCUCGAGUGGUCAGGACGUUUAUUGGGCCUAAAGCAUCCGUAGCCGGCUUUGCAAGUCUUCGGUUAAAUCCACCUGCUCAACAGAUGGGCCGCUGGAGAUACUACAAAGCUAGGGAGUGGGAGAGGCAGACGGUAUUCAGUGGGUAGGGGUAAAAUCCUCUGAUCCAUUGAGGACCACCAGUGGCGAAGGCGGUCUGCCAGAACACGUUCGACGGUGAGGGAUGAAAGCUGGGGGAGCAAACCGGAUUAGAUACCCGGGUAGUCCCAGCUGUAAACGAUGCAAACUCGGUGAUGCAUUGGCUUAUGGCCAAUGCAGUGCCGCAGGGAAGCCGUUAAGUUUGCCGCCUGGGAAGUACGGACGCAAGUCUGAAACUUAAAGAAUUGGCGGGGGACACA